Molecule: ribosomal RNA, 483 nt
Filed under: uncultured bacterium
Lineage: Bacteria
Description: partial 16S ribosomal RNA
Rfam family: Bacterial small subunit ribosomal RNA
Source: RNAcentral
AUUGAACGCUGGCGGCAGGCCUAACACAUGCAAGUCGAGCGGAUGAAGGGAGCUUGCUCCUGGAUUCAGCGGCGGACGGGUGAGUAAUGCCUAGGAAUCUGCCUGGUAGUGGGGGAUAACGUCCGGAAACGGGCGCUAAUACCGCAUACGUCCUGAGGGAGAAAGUGGGGGAUCUUCGGACCUCACGCUAUCAGAUGAGCCUAGGUCGGAUUAGCUAGUUGGUGGGGUAAAGGCCUACCAAGGCGACGAUCCGUAACUGGUCUGAGAGGGUGAUCAGUCACACUGGAACUGAGACACGGUCCAGACUCCUAGGGGAGGCAGCGGGGGGGAAUUUUGGAAAUUGGGCGAAAGCCUGACCCAGCCAUGCCGGGUGUGUGAAGAAGGUUUUCGGAUUUUAAAGCACUUUAAGUUGGGGGGAAGGGCAGUAAGUUAAUACCUUGCUGUUUGGACUUUACCAACAGAAUAAGCACCGGCUAACUUCGU